AGAUAGAGAGAUGGAGAGAGAUGGAGAGAGAGGACUGAGUUCAUUUGAGGAAUAGUUGGGUUGAAACCCCUGGCAGACCUACUUGCUUUAGCAAGCCUGUCUAGUUUCAUUGCUUCAAGGACCCCGUCUCUGUGGACAGCAACCUGAUCUCUACCUCCAGCACACACCUCACUCCUUGGAGAUAGCCCUGCAUUUUCUGAUUUCUCCACCUGGAUCUCACCAGCCCAAGAAUGAAUACCCAUGUUCUUCUUCAGCAUACAGUUAAAUAAACC
This is a long non-coding RNA of Suricata suricatta (meerkat), 272 nucleotides long. RefSeq lists it as uncharacterized. NCBI's taxonomy places the organism in Eukaryota, Metazoa, Chordata, Mammalia, Carnivora, Herpestidae. The record is from RefSeq and is a predicted model, not a curated record. The transcript is spliced from 3 exons.